Molecule: ribosomal RNA, 267 nt
Filed under: uncultured prokaryote
Description: partial 16S ribosomal RNA
Rfam family: Bacterial small subunit ribosomal RNA
Source: RNAcentral
CGUAGGUGGCGAGCGUUGUCCGGAUUUACUGGGCGUAAAGGGAGCGUAGGCGGACUUUUAAGUGAGAUGUGAAAUACCCGGGCUCAACUAGGGUGCUGCAUUUCAAACUGGAAGUCUAGAGUGCAGGAGAGGAGAAUGGAAUUCCUAGUGUAGCGGUGAAAUGCGUAGAGAUUAGGAAGAACACCAGUGGCGAAGGCGAUUCUCCGGACUGUAACUGACGCUGAGGCUCGAAAGCGUGGGGAGCAAACAGGAUUAGAUACCCUGGUA